Mustela lutreola (European mink) is the source of this 2199-nucleotide long non-coding RNA. RefSeq lists it as uncharacterized. The transcript is spliced from 2 exons. The record is from RefSeq and is a predicted model, not a curated record. NCBI's taxonomy places the organism in Eukaryota, Metazoa, Chordata, Mammalia, Carnivora, Mustelidae.
GCGGGGGGGCGGGGCGUCGGGCCGGAGCCGGGGGUCGCGGGGCUGGAAGGCAGCGAGGAAGGCGCCGGGCCCCUCUAGAGCGUUGCGCGGGCCGAGCGGGGCCGGCCCCCGAGCCUCGAGCAUCUAGGGCUUGGCUUUGUCAGCCGAAAGCUUGCCUGGACCCCCGGGGGCCUCAGGACAUCAGAGGCCGGGGCCUGGCACGGGGCAGGCGGGAAGCUGGUGCCUGGAAGCUGGCUUCUCUUCCCGCACGACCUUGGGGCGAGGCACCUCCUUCUGCAGCUCCGGGGCUGUAUUUUUACAACAUUUCCGCGGCGGCUGAGCUGCUCGGGAGGCGCGACCACGCUCCGUCCAUCCCAGAGCCGGAGGAGUUACGAUCCCAGAGUCGGAAACCGGGGCCCGAGAGAGGGCGGAGGCGACUGGUUCGAGGCCGCACGGGUGACCCCGCCCUCUGAGGCCGCCGGCGGCCUCAGUUUCCCUGUCCUUGGUGCUGAGGACGCCGGGGCCCAGAGGCUCCUGCCGGCGGGGCCGCAUCCCGCCGCGGGGCCUCCACCGCCGCGCGGAACCCGGACCAAAGGUGAAUGACGUGCGGCUGCUGGCUCUGAGGGCGCGCCCCACCCGCCCCCGCGCAGGAGGCAGCCGCGUGACCGUGACUAACGCACCUGUGCCCACCGAGGGGGACGACCGCCCUGCUCCCAUUGGCCACACAGUCCGGUGUCCCUCACUCCUCUUCGACCCCGCCGUCCCGAUCCUUUCUGGAAAUGUGAAGACUGAGUCCUGCAAAGACUGCCUGCUGCAGCUGAGGUCCCAUGGCUAAGAUGAGAGACAAGGGCAGGCAUCCUGGCUCCUUUGUGUGAAGGGUGUGACUUGCCAGAGGACAGAACACUUCCUCCCCAGCAGCCAAACUAAGUCCUAAAUGUAGCUCUAAUUAGCUAAUCCUUGGCUUGGCCACUCAGAGCCCACCCUGGCUAGGCCACCAGGCAGAGACUGGAGAAGCUUGGCAGGUCGUGAUGCUAACAUAAUAGGUUUUACACUAAAAAGGACCAAUUCUGCCAUAGAAGUAGGGGAAGCCUCGCCAGGGGCCGUUUGAGCAAGGCUUUGAAAGGUUGAGAAGGCAUUUACUGGGCAGUCCACUUUCCAGAAGUGAUCUGUGAGGAUGUGUAAUGACGAUGGAGCCCGGCAUGCAGUAGGUGCUCAGGAAAAGUACGGGACCUAUCACUGUCCACAGAACCCCAGAGUGGUAAAUACACCCAUAACCCUUGAGCUGGUGACCCCAGUCCCAAGACCUUCUCCCAAGAAGUUAUCCAAAGCAAAAAGCCCCAUGCAUCAUACUGAGCACUGCCUUGCCAUCUGUGAUUGGAGAAAGCUGGAAGUAAUGUUCGUCCAGCGCCCAGACCAGGCUAUAAAAGAUGCUGGGCCCCAUGCUGGUGUAUCAGACGAGAGUUAAACGUGGCCAGGUUGAAGGUGGUAGGAAGGGUUCAUUGUCCACAUAUUUAUCGAGUAACUUCAAUGCGCCAAUCAUUGGCAGUACCGGACAGUGAGGAGAACAGCUCUGCCUGGCUCCGAUUCCAAUCCAGAAUAGCCACACUGUCCACCCCACUGUCACCCAGUCCCUCUCCCCUCAUCCUUGUUUGUUUAUUGUGUAUUGUCCGUCUGCUCACCACAUGGAAACUCCAGGAGAGCUAGGGCUCGAAUAUCACUCUCUACCCCGUGAUCAGCAGGCUCUGAUGUCCGUGGACACUCAGAUACUUGCCGACCACACCCAAGUCCUGGCUCAGCACUUACUGACCAUAUGUCUUUGGACUGAGCCUGUUUCCUCAGCUGUAAAAAUGGGGAUGUGAGACAAACCUCCGAGAUAUCAUAGGUCCAGUGCCAGACCACCACAAUUAAGGCAAAGGUCACAAUAAAGUCAGGCAAAUAUAUGUUUUGGUUUCCCAGUGCAGAGAAAGGUAUGUUUCUAUGACACUGUAGUUCAUUAAGUGUGCAAUAGCAUGUCUUAAAAAAAAAAAAACAAAGGGUGCCUGGGUGGCCCAGUUGGUUAAGCAGCUGCCUUCAGCUCAGGGCACGAUCCCAGUGUCCUGGGAUCGAACCCCGCAUCAGGCUCCUUGCUUGGUGAGGAGCCUGCUUCUCUCUCUCCCUCUGCCUGCUGCUCUGCCUGCUUGUGCUCUCUUUCUGUAAAAUAAAUAAAUCUAAAAAAAACCC